This 497-nucleotide ribosomal RNA is filed under the name uncultured bacterium. RNAcentral describes it as "partial 16S ribosomal RNA". It matches the Rfam family "Bacterial small subunit ribosomal RNA", at positions 28 to 507 of the family's 1533-position model. The record is from RNAcentral.
GAUGAACGCUGGCGGCGUGCCUAAUACAUGCAAGUCGAGCGAACAGACGAGGAGCUUGCUCCUCUGACGUUAGCGGCGGACGGGUGAGUAACACGUGGAUAACCUACCUAUAAGACUGGGAUAACUUCGGGAAACCGGAGCUAAUACCGGAUAAUAUAUUGAACCGCAUGGUUCAAUAGUGAAAGACGGUUUUGCUGUCACUUAUAGAUGGAUCCGCGCCGCAUUAGCUAGUUGGUAAGGUAACGGCUUACCAAGGCAACGAUGCGUAGCCGACCUGAGAGGGUGAUCGGCCACACUGGAACUGAGACACGGUCCAGACUCCUACGGGAGGCAGCAGUAGGGAAUCUUCCGCAAAGGGCGAAAGCCUGACGGAGCAACGCCGCGUGAGUGAUGAAGGUCUUCGGAUUGUAAAACUCUGUUAUUAGGGAAGAACAAUUGUGUAAGUAACUAUGCACGUCUUGACGGUACCUAAUCAGAAAGCCACGGCUAACUACGUG